UUGUCGAACACGAAACUCGUCUAAAGUGUUUUAAUUUGGCCUUUUUAAUCAUAAAUGUUGAUACAUAUAUGUAUAUACAUGUGGCAAUCGACAGAAGGGUAGUCAUUAGCGGUUAACACAAUUAUUCGUUGCGAAAAGGAAAACUUAUUUCAACCGUUCUAUAAUACAUACUUCACUCUACAUUAUGUUGAAAAAGGAGAUUUUGAUAYAAAUGCCAGAAAAAAGUGCCUCCCAUAAAAAUAAACUCGGGCGGUAGAGACACAA
This 264-nucleotide ribosomal RNA is filed under the name Haemonchus contortus (barber pole worm). Its description in RNAcentral is "partial large subunit ribosomal RNA". The record is from RNAcentral. Lineage: Eukaryota; Metazoa; Nematoda; Chromadorea; Rhabditida; Trichostrongylidae.